GAUGAACGCUGGCGGCGUGCCUAAUACAUGCAAGUUGAGCGAACGGACGAGAAGCUUGCUUCUCUGAUGUUAGCGGCGGACGGGUGAGUAACACGUGGAUAACCUACCUAUAAGACUGGGAUAACUUCGGGAAACCGGAGCUAAUACCGGAUAAUAUUUUGAACCGCAUGGGUCAAAAGUGAAAGACGGUCUUGCUGUCACUUAUAGAUGGAUCCGCGCUGCAUUAGCUAGUUGGUAAGGUAACGGCUUACCAAGGCAACGAUGCAUAGCCGACCUGAGAGGCUGAUCGGCCACCCUGGAACUGAGCCACGGUCCAGACUCCUACGGGAGGCAGCAGUAGGGAAUCUUACGCAAUAGGCGAAAGCCUGACGGAGCAACGCCGCGUGAGUGAUGAAGGUCUUCGGAUCGUAAAACUCUGUUAUUAGGGAAGAACAUAUGUGUAAGUAACUGUGCACAUCUUGACGGUACCUAAUCAGAAAGCCACGGCUAACUACGUG
Molecule: ribosomal RNA, 497 nt
Filed under: uncultured bacterium
Lineage: Bacteria
Description: partial 16S ribosomal RNA
Rfam family: Bacterial small subunit ribosomal RNA
Source: RNAcentral